RNAcentral lists this unclassified non-coding RNA (345 nucleotides) under soil metagenome. Its description in RNAcentral is "partial contains 5.8S ribosomal RNA, internal transcribed spacer 2, and large subunit ribosomal RNA". The stretch from base 1 to 120 matches the Rfam family "5.8S ribosomal RNA", at positions 35 to 154 of the family's 154-position model. The record is from RNAcentral.
GAUGAAGAACGUAGCGAAAUGCGAUACGUAAUGUGAAUUGCAGAAUUCAGUGAAUCAUCGAGUCUUUGAACGCACAUUGCGCCCCCUAGUAUUCCGGGGGGCAUGCCUGUCCGAGCGUCAUUGCUGCCCUCAAGCACGGCUUGUGUGUUGGGCCUCCGUCCUCCUCCCGGGGGACGGGCCCGAAAGGCAGCGGCGGCACCGCGUCCGGUCCUCGAGCGUAUGGGGCUUCGUCACCCGCUCUUGUAGGCCCGGCCGGCGCUUGCCGACACAUCAAUCUUUUUUCCAGGUUGACCUCGGAUCAGGUAGGGAUACCCGCUGAACUUAAGCAUAUCAAUAAGCGGAGGA